GAUGAACGCUGGCGGCGUGCCUAAUACAUGCAAGUCGAGCGAACGGACGAGAAGCUUGCUUUUCUGAUGUUAGCGGCGGACGGGUGAGUAACACGUGGAUAACCUACCUAUAAGACUGGGAUAACUUCGGGAAACCGGAGCUAAUACCGGAUAAUAUUUUGAACCGCAUGGUUCAAAAGUGAAAGACGGUCUUGCUGUCACUUAUAGAUGGAUCCGCGCUGCAUUAGCUAGUUGGUAAGGUAACGGCUUACCAAGGCAACGAUGCAUAGCCGACCUGAGAGGGGGAUCGGCCACACUGGAACUGAGACACGGUCCAGACUCCUACGGGAGGCAGCAGUAGGGAAUCUUCCGCAAUCGGCGAAAGCCUGACGGAGCAACGCCGCGUGAGUGAUGAAGGUCUUCGGAUCGUAAAACUCUGUUAUUAGGGAAGAACAUAUGUGUAAGUAACUGUGCACAUCUUGACGGUACCUAAUCAGAAAGCCACGGCUAACUACGUG
This 497-nucleotide ribosomal RNA is filed under the name uncultured bacterium. RNAcentral describes it as "partial 16S ribosomal RNA". It matches the Rfam family "Bacterial small subunit ribosomal RNA", at positions 28 to 507 of the family's 1533-position model. The record is from RNAcentral.